This 379-nucleotide ribosomal RNA is filed under the name uncultured bacterium. RNAcentral's name for it is "bacterial SSU rRNA". It matches the Rfam family "Bacterial small subunit ribosomal RNA", at positions 29 to 433 of the family's 1533-position model. The record is from RNAcentral.
AACGAACGCUGGCGGCAGGCUUAACACAUGCAAGUCGAACGGGUGUAGCAAUACACCAGUGGCAGACGGGUGAGUAACACGCGGGAACCUUCCUCGUUGUACGGGACAACUCAGGGAAACUUGAGCUAAUACCGUAUACGUCCGAGAGGAGAAAGAUUUAUCGCAGUGAGACGGGCCCGCGUCGGAUUAGCUAGUUGGUAGGGUAACGGCCUACCAAGGCGACGAUCCGUAGCUGANCUGAGAGGAUGAUCAGCCACACUGGGACUGAGACACGGCCCAGACUCCUACGGGAGGCAGCAGUGGGGAAUCUUGGACAAUGGGCGCAAGCCUGAUCCAGCCAUGCCGCGUGAGUGAAGAAGGCCUUAGGGUUGUAAAGCUC